This 429-nucleotide ribosomal RNA is filed under the name Gemmatimonadota bacterium. Its description in RNAcentral is "Gemmatimonadetes bacterium partial 16S ribosomal RNA". It matches the Rfam family "Bacterial small subunit ribosomal RNA", at positions 355 to 776 of the family's 1533-position model. Lineage: Bacteria; Pseudomonadati; Gemmatimonadota. The record is from RNAcentral.
UAGGGAAUCUUCGGCAAUGGACGAAAGUCUGACCGAGCAACGCCGCGUGAGUGAAGAAGGUUUUCGGAUCGUAAAACUCUGUUGUUAGAGAAGAACAAGGACGUUAGUAACUGAACGUCCCCUGACGGUAUCUAACCAGAAAGCCACGGCUAACUACGUGCCAGCAGCCGCGGUAAUACGUAGGUGGCAAGCGUUGUCCGGAUUUAUUGGGCGUAAAGCGAGCGCAGGCGGUUUCUUAAGUCUGAUGUGAAAGCCCCCGGCUCAACCGGGGAGGGUCAUUGGAAACUGGGAGACUUGAGUGCAGAAGAGGGGAGUAGAAUUCCAUGUGUAGCGGUGAAAUGCGUAGAUAUAUGGAGGAACACCAGUGGCGAAGGCGGCUCUCUGGUCUGUAACUGACGCUGAGGCUCGAAAGCGUGGGGAGCAAACAGG